Caenorhabditis elegans is the source of this 21-nucleotide non-coding RNA. NCBI's taxonomy places the organism in Eukaryota, Metazoa, Nematoda, Chromadorea, Rhabditida, Rhabditidae. The record is from Ensembl.
UUCAACGGCUGUACAAAAAGA